ACGAAUGCUGGCUGCGUGCUUAACACAUGCAAGUCGAACGGUGAAGGAGGGCUUGCCCUCCGGAUCAGUGGCGAACGGGUGAGUAACACGUGGGCAACCUGCCCCUCACUCUGGGAUAACGCCGGGAAACCGGCGCUAAUACCGGAUACGACCAGAAGCGACAUCUCUUCUGGUGGAAAGAAUUUCGGUGAGGGAUGGGCCCGCGGCCUAUCAGCUAGUUGGUGAGGUAACGGCCCACCAAGGCGACGACGGGUAGCCGGCCUGAGAGGGCGACCGGCCACACUGGGACUGAGACACGGCCCAGACUCCUACGGGAGGCAGCAGUGGGGAAUAUUGCGCAAUGGGCGAAAGCCUGACGCAGCGACGCAGCGUGAGGGACGAAGGCCUUCGGGUUGUAAACCUCUUUCAGCGGGGACGAAGCGAAAGUGACGGUACCCGCAGAAGAAGCACCGGCUAACUACGU
Molecule: ribosomal RNA, 463 nt
Filed under: uncultured bacterium
Lineage: Bacteria
Description: bacterial SSU rRNA
Rfam family: Bacterial small subunit ribosomal RNA
Source: RNAcentral